This 301-nucleotide ribosomal RNA is filed under the name uncultured bacterium. RNAcentral describes it as "partial 16S ribosomal RNA". It matches the Rfam family "Bacterial small subunit ribosomal RNA", at positions 509 to 807 of the family's 1533-position model. The record is from RNAcentral.
CAGUCGCCACGGGAACACGAAGGGUGCAAGCGUUACUCGGAAUUACUGGGCGUAAAGCGUGCGUAGGUGGUGGUUUAAGUCCGUUGUGAAAGCCCUGGGCUCAACCUGGGAAUUGCAGUGGAUACUGGGUCACUAGAGUGUGGUAGAGGAUAGUGGAAUUUCCGGUGUAGCAGUGAAAUGCGUAGAGAUCGGAAGGAACAUCUGUGGCGAAGGCGACUAUCUGGGCCAACACUGACACUGAGGCACGAAAGCGUGGGGAGCAAACAGGAUUAGAUACCCCAGUAGUCCCUGUCUCUUAUAC